Molecule: non-coding RNA, 45 nt
Filed under: Schistosoma mattheei
Lineage: Eukaryota; Metazoa; Platyhelminthes; Trematoda; Strigeidida; Schistosomatidae
Source: RNAcentral
ACCCAGUUGACAAGUCCCGAAUAGGACGAAACGUACUUCUUGGAU